RNAcentral lists this ribosomal RNA (433 nucleotides) under uncultured bacterium. Its description in RNAcentral is "partial 16S ribosomal RNA". It matches the Rfam family "Bacterial small subunit ribosomal RNA", at positions 29 to 507 of the family's 1533-position model. The record is from RNAcentral.
AACGAACGCUGGCGGCAUGCCUAACACAUGCAAGUCGAACGAGACCUUCGGGUCUAGGGGCGCACGGGUGCGUAACGCGUGGGAACCUUCCCUUAUGGUCGGAAUAACUCCCCGAAAGGGGUGCUAAUACCGGAUAAUGUCUUCGGACCAAAGAUUUAUCGCCUUUGGAUGGGCCCGCGUUGGAUUAGCUAGUUGGUAGGGUAAAAGCCUACCAAGGCGACGAUCCAUAGCUGGUCUGAGAGGAUGAUCAGCCACACUGGGACUGAGACACGGCCCAGAAUCCUACGGGAGGCAGCAGUGGGGAAUAUUGGACAAUGGGCGAAAGCAUGAUCCAGCAAUGCCGGGAGAGUGAUGAAGGCCUUAGGGUUGUAAAGCUCUUUUAACCGGGAUGAUAAUGACAGUACCGGGAGAAUAAGCUACGGCUAACUCCGUG